AGAGUUUGAUCCUGGCUCAGAAUGAACGCUGGCGGCGUGCCUAACACAUGCAAGUCGCACGAGAAAGACUGUUUUCGGAUGGUCGAGUAAAGUGGCGCACGGGUGAGUAACGCGUAGGUAACCUGCCCCUGUAUUUGGGAUAACAGGACGAAAGUUCUGCUAAUACCGGAUACGACCUUGAGCCGGAGGGUUGAAGGUGAAAGUGGGCCUCUCGAAGAAGCUCAUGUACGGGGAUGGGCCUGCGUCCUAUCAGCUGGUUGGUGGGGUAACGGCCUACCAAGGCGACGACGGGUAGCUGGUCUGAGAGGAUGAUCAGCCACACUGGCACUGGAACACGGGCCAGACUCCUACGGGAGGCAGCAGUGAGGAAUUUUGCGCAAUGGCCGCAAGGCUGACGCAGCAACGCCGCGUGGGUGAAGAAGGCCUUCGGGUCGUAAAGCCCUGUCAGGUGGGAAGAAAAGAUCCGGCAAGAAACGGUCGGAUAUUGACGGUACCACCAGAGGAAGCACCGGCUAACUCCGUGCCAGCAGCCGCGGUAAUACGGAGGGUGCGAGCGUUAUUCGGAAUUACUGGGCGUAAAGCGCGUGCAGGCGGGCAAGCAAGUCUGAUGUGAAAGCCCCGGGCUUAACCUGGGAAGUGCAUUGGAAACGGUUUGUCUUGAGUACUGGAGAGGAAGGGGGAAUUCCCGGUGUAGAGGUGAAAUUCGUAGAGAUCGGGAGGAAUACCAGUGGCGAAGGCGCCCUUCUGGACGGUUACUGACGCUGAGACGCGAAAGCGUGGGGAGCAAACAGGAUUAGAUACCCUGGUAGUCCACGCUGUAAACGAUGAGCACUAGGUGUAGCGGGUACUCAUUCCUGCUGUGCCGUAGCUAACGCGUUAAGUGCUCCGCCUGGGGAUUACGGUCGCAAGACUAAAACUCAAAGGAAUUGACGG
Molecule: ribosomal RNA, 933 nt
Filed under: uncultured bacterium
Lineage: Bacteria
Description: bacterial SSU rRNA
Rfam family: Bacterial small subunit ribosomal RNA
Source: RNAcentral